Molecule: unclassified non-coding RNA, 250 nt
Filed under: Melitaea cinxia (Glanville fritillary)
Lineage: Eukaryota; Metazoa; Arthropoda; Insecta; Lepidoptera; Nymphalidae
Description: misc RNA ENSMCXG00005018509.1
Source: RNAcentral
AUGUUAGCAUUUAUUUAACGUUAGUACUAAUAUAUAAUUACCUAUUGACAUUUUUAUACUGCCUCUUCCUCUCCAUUUAGUCUUCCAUUUUAUUUCAAUCAACUUUUGCCUCCAUUUCGUACUAUUUGUAGUAUAUGCGUAAGUCAAACUCCACAUGGCAUCACCACUGCUAUACGCAUGAAGAACCCUGAAACAAUAAUUUACUAUUCCACAGGUGGUCGUUCGCUUCUCGAAUAUUCGAUGUUAAAUG